CACUUCCUCUCUUGGUUCCCUCUGUGUGUCCCUGCAUUCCUCUCAUCCCCUCGGAGUUCCAUCACUCCUGCCCUUCUGAUCCACCCCAUUCCAGACAGACAGCUUCCGUGAGGUACUGGCAAUGUUGGGGUGGCUGUGCUGUGCGUAUCCCCACUGACCAUCUUCUGUGUAUUUGCAGCCAGCUCCAUCUUCACACUGCAGAAUAUCCAGCUGCAGAAGGAUCCGGGCUAUCGGAAUGUGUACUUCGACUCAGCGAUGAAGAGCAAGAGCAGGACCUGAGUGGCUUUUAUACCAUAGACCAGCCCCUUUCAGCUUUCAGGAAGGACAGAUGUCAGAGCAUGUUGUUUCAAUUCAAUAGACACCCCCCCAGAUUGUGAGAGUGAGCGGCGACCAGCUCGACACAGCUAGCGAAGGAUGUGUGCUCCAGUCAUAGCUGAGCUGGUCGUGACCAACCGAUCGCUCACCGUGUGUGAGAGAGCUGACAGAGAAGUGCUGCUCGCUUGUAAACUGCACUGGCAAUUGCACUGCUUUCACCAAUCAGGCCCGAGCCAUCAAAGAGGAAAAGCCAAAAACAAAAAGCCAAGUCCAGUCACUGGCUCGAACACCGCUGCUAACGCGCUAUUUUGAUCAAGGGUGGUGCGCGCCUCGAUCAGCAAUUCACAGACCGCCGCUAACAGCGCCCCUCAGUCUUGCCCAGUGGCUGUCAGUGGGACCCAUCUUCAAAACAAUGGCAAGACCAUCAAGAGGAAUCCCAUCAAAUGUUGAAACAUUGUGAGGUAUUCCAACUCUCAGUGCGUUUGUAAGACCACUUCAUGGCCUCUGAGCCCAGCCUGGUCAAUAUAAAACCCCAAGCGUUAGGGGUCCAGCUUUCCCGCCUGCCUUCAGUGCGAUCGGGGCAGACCGAACCAAAAGUAAUAGAUCAGUGAUAUUAAAUGUGAGCAGUGUCUCCACAAAGAUCAUUGACCAGAAAGUUUAACCAGACUGAAUAUUAAAUGUCAUUAGACCAUGUGCUGCCCAGUUCACACACUGAGGGUUCAACCAAGUACUCCGCUUCUGCAAGGAGAGAUACAUGGCCUUACCUUUUAAGCAACACUGCAGUGAAUUACCACCACUCCGAUGGCAUGUUUCUGGGCCCAGUUCUUCGAGGUAUUUGCAGACGUUUGAAGCCAGGUUCCUGAUAGGUGCAGCAGUUGGCUUCCUCAUGAAUAAGACUUCCUUUUGGUGAUGAACAAUUUCCUCAUGUAACGUCAAAAUACCAAACUGCAAUAAAGACCAAGGGACAAAGAAA
Chiloscyllium plagiosum (whitespotted bambooshark) is the source of this 1288-nucleotide non-coding RNA. The record is from RefSeq and is a predicted model, not a curated record. NCBI's taxonomy places the organism in Eukaryota, Metazoa, Chordata, Chondrichthyes, Orectolobiformes, Hemiscylliidae.